This is a ribosomal RNA of 560 nucleotides. The stretch from base 185 to 338 matches the Rfam family "5.8S ribosomal RNA".
UUUCUCUUUGGGUGUCCUGCGGAGGGAUCAUUACCGAGUCUAAACAACUCAUCAACCCUGUGAACAUACAUAAAACGUUGCUUCGGCGGGAACAGACGGCCCCGUGAAACGGGCCGCCCCCGCCAGAGGACCCCCUAACUCUGUUGCUAUAUGUAUCUUCUGAGUAAACAAGCAAAUAAAUUAAAACUUUCAACAACGGAUCUCUUGGCUCUGGCAUCGAUGAAGAACGCAGCGAAAUGCGAUAAGUAAUGUGAAUUGCAGAAUUCAGUGAAUCAUCGAAUCUUUGAACGCACAUUGCGCCCGCCAGUAUUCUGGCGGGCAUGCCUGUUCGAGCGUCAUUACAACCCUCAGGCCCCCGGGCCUGGCGUUGGGGAUCGGCGAGGCGCCCCCCGCGGGCACGCGCCGUCCCCCAAAUACAGUGGCGGUCCCGCCGCAGCUUCCAUUGCGUAGUAGCUAACACCUCGCAACUGGAGAGCGGCGCGGCCAUGCCGUAAAACACCCAACUUCUGAAUGUUGACCUCGAAUCAGGUAGGAAUACCCGCUGAACUUAAGCAUAUCAA